RNAcentral lists this ribosomal RNA (1000 nucleotides) under Bacillus subtilis. RNAcentral's name for it is "bacterial SSU rRNA". It matches the Rfam family "Bacterial small subunit ribosomal RNA", at positions 38 to 1016 of the family's 1533-position model. Lineage: Bacteria; Bacillati; Bacillota; Bacilli; Caryophanales; Bacillaceae. The record is from RNAcentral.
GGCAAUGACUGCCGCUAUACAUGCAAGUCGAGCGGACGAGAUGCGAGAGCUUGCUCCCUGAUGUUAGCGGCGGACGGGUGAGUAACACGUGGGUAACCUGCCUGUAAGACUGGGAUAACUCCGGGAAACCGGGGCUAAUACCGGAUGGUUGUUUGAACCGCAUGGUUCAAACAUAAAAGGUGGCUUCGGCUACCACUUACAGAUGGACCCGCGGCGCAUUAGCUAGUUGGUGAGGUAACGGCUCACCAAGGCAACGAUGCGUAGCCGACCUGAGAGGGUGAUCGGCCACACUGGGACUGAGACACGGCCCAGACUCCUACGGGAGGCAGCAGUAGGGAAUCUUCCGCAAUGGACGAAAGUCUGACGGAGCAACGCCGCGUGAGUGAUGAAGGUUUUCGGAUCGUAAAGCUCUGUUGUUAGGGAAGAACAAGUACCGUUCGAAUAGGGCGGUACCUUGACGGUACCUAACCAGAAAGCCACGGCUAACUACGUGCCAGCAGCCGCGGUAAUACGUAGGUGGCAAGCGUUGUCCGGAAUUAUUGGGCGUAAAGGGCUCGCAGGCGGUUUCUUAAGUCUGAUGUGAAAGCCCCCGGCUCAACCGGGGAGGGUCAUUGGAAACUGGGGAACUUGAGUGCAGAAGAGGAGAGUGGAAUUCCACGUGUAGCGGUGAAAUGCGUAGAGAUGUGGAGGAACACCAGUGGCGAAGGCGACUCUCUGGUCUGUAACUGACGCUGAGGAGCGAAAGCGUGGGGAGCGAACAGGAUUAGAUACCCUGGUAGUCCACGCCGUAAACGAUGAGUGCUAAGUGUUAAGGGGGUUUCCGCCCCUUAGUGCUGCAGCUAACGCAUUAAGCACUCCGCCUGGGGAGUACGGUCGCAAGACUGAAACUCAAGGAAUUUGACGGGGGCCCGCACAAGCGGUGGAGCAUGGUGGUUUAAUUCGAGGCACGCGAGACCUUACCAGGUCUUGACAUCUCUGACAUCCUAGAGAUAGGACGUCC